AUUGUACUCCCUCCAUCCGGAAUUACUUGUCGCAGAAACAGAUAAAAAUAGAUGUAUCUAGAGUUAAAAUAUGUUAGAUACUUCUAUUUCUCCAACAAGUAAUUCUGGACGGAGGGAGUAUCUA
Non-coding RNA from Triticum aestivum (bread wheat), 124 nucleotides. The record is from Rfam. NCBI's taxonomy places the organism in Eukaryota, Viridiplantae, Streptophyta, Magnoliopsida, Poales, Poaceae.